RNAcentral lists this ribosomal RNA (408 nucleotides) under uncultured Glomus. RNAcentral's name for it is "SSU rRNA". It matches the Rfam family "Eukaryotic small subunit ribosomal RNA", at positions 569 to 982 of the family's 1831-position model. The record is from RNAcentral. Lineage: Eukaryota; Fungi; Glomeromycota; Glomeromycetes; Glomerales; Glomeraceae.
AGCAGCCGCGGUAAUUCCAGCUCCAAUAGCGUAUAUUAAAGUUGUUGCAGUUAAAAAGCUCGUAGUUGAAUUUCGGGAUCAAUAUUUCGGUCAUGCCGUUGGUAUGCACUGUUAUCAUUGAUUUCUCACCUUCUAAAGAACCGUAAUGCCAUUAAUUUGGUGUUACGGGGAAUUAGGACUGUUACCUUGAAAAAUUAGAGUGUUUAAAGCAGGCUCACGCUUGGAUACAUUAGCAUGGAAUAAUGAAAUAGGACGUUUGAUUCUAUUUUGUUGGUUUCUAGGACCGACGUAAUGAUUAAUAGGGAUAGUUGGGGGCAUUAGUAUUCAAUUGUCAGAGGUGAAAUUCUUGGAUUUAUUGAAGCUAACUACUGCGAAAGCAUUUGCCAAGGAUGUUUUCAUUAAUCAAGA